Molecule: long non-coding RNA, 1645 nt
Organism: Gasterosteus aculeatus aculeatus (three-spined stickleback)
Lineage: Eukaryota; Metazoa; Chordata; Actinopteri; Perciformes; Gasterosteidae
Source: Ensembl
AGAGUAGUGGAGGUGGGGGUGAAGAGACAGCUUGAAAAGGAAAAAAGACAGCACAGGGGAGCCCUUCUGUUGCCAUUGCUCUGACCAGACGUGUCCCACACACAUGCACAUCCACACUCACCCACGCACACACAUGCACAAACAAACAACUUUGAGUCAUCAACGUGGGCACACAAGUGUUCGUCCUUACACAUGUUGAAAUUAUGAUUUGAAAGUUUGAAGCGUACACACAAGGGUUAUAAUGCGAAUGUGUUUGUUGGCAAUAGAAGGACAAGCAGGAGAUCAUCAACGCCAUUAUGAUAGAUUGUCUGGCCCUUCCUCUUGUGUGGGUCUGUGGGGUAGAUAAUCUGUCAAUUGCAACUGUGGCCCUCGGGGGCCCAUGUGCCGUAAGUUCUCGCAAGCUGGACCCCCGACUCCCUGUGAGUGAGACGGUACGCUGGCGAGCGAUCGACACACGAGCCCAUCCUUGACACCCCGAGUUGACACCAGGGCACAGACAGUGUGUCCAGGUUGAACAACACACACACACACGCACACACACGCACGCAAAGCAAAACUUCCAGCUUUUAACAACAUCCCCACCCCCAUGCCUCCUGUCUCUGCCCUCCUGCGACACACAUGCACCUCCUGUCCCCAUGUUUGCGACGCCCUUCACUUCCUGCAACACACACCCGAGCCUGCUCCGAGCCUCCGAACCCCCCCCCUGCCUUCACUGCAGCCCCAGCUCCCAAAGCCCAGGGAAGCAGCAGCCGUGCCGGACGGCCCGGCACCUCGGACCCCCUUUCAGCCCGUCCCCGGCCUCUUUGAAGUGGCUUCAGGACAGAGAGGUCAGCCUCGCCCCGGAGACCCGCAUAGAGCCAGCACGUUCUUCUUUGCGAAUCAACACAGUUUGUGUGAAAUAUGCUAAAUCUAGCUGAGAACUGCGAAGGCGUUGCUGGUGCAUCGUGGGGGAAUCUUUGGUGAAGGUGGACUCGAUCAGGCCGUUCAUGGGAGACAAGGACCGAGAAAGGUGAAGCCCCCACCGGGCUUUACUAAAAGCUGACUUUCUUGGCUGCUUGGUCCAGGUGUGGUCGGGGUAUUUGGACCUAUUAUUCGAUGCGGAGAGGGAAGAGGGAAGCUAACUGUACUCUUAUCGCUUCAACCUUUCAAUCUGUUUCUGCCUCAGAGGAGGGAUUGAUCUCAUCGGCCCAGAGCUGAGAGUCAAACAUCUGUCUGCCUCCCUCCACUCCCUCUUCCUCUUCCUCUGUCAGCCAGCCAGUGUCUCCCAAAUCGGCUCCCCUCUUGGUUGCCUGCAUUAGGGGCAUGAUGAGGGCAGCUGUGGUACGUGCCGGGGAUGAUUGUGAGGGCUCUUGGAUGGAUGGAUACAUGGUCUCAGUGUCCAUCAACACAUCAGGACAUUAUUUCUUAGUCUUGUCUCAAAAAAUGUUCCUCUAAUUCAACAAAAACUCCUUUUAUGUUCUGCGCUCAAAUAAGUGGCGGUCAAGCUAAAGAGAUAAGAACCACACGUUAUACAACUAUACAUUUAAAUUCAGAGCAACUUACAACUAAUGCAAAUACAUUUUAAUUCAAUAUGCAAAUUCUCCAGUAUAUUGAAGGCCAUCCGAAUCAGCUUUAUUGGUCACGUGUGCUUAUGCGUAGAUUGAAU